This 74-nucleotide transfer RNA is filed under the name Lachnospira pectinoschiza. RNAcentral's name for it is "tRNA-Gln(ttg)". It matches the Rfam family "tRNA". Rfam says of the family: Transfer RNA (tRNA) molecules are approximately 80 nucleotides in length. Their secondary structure includes four short double-helical elements and three loops (D, anti-codon, and T loops). RNAcentral also lists the same sequence under 1 other name. Lineage: Bacteria; Bacillati; Bacillota; Clostridia; Lachnospirales; Lachnospiraceae. The record is from RNAcentral.
UGGGCUAUCGCCAAGCGGUAAGGCACAGGGUUUUGAUCCCUGCAUUACGCUGGUUCGAAUCCAGCUAGCCCAGC